AAAAUCUCUGACAUAAAACUGGUCUAUUGGCUAUAGUCCUCUGCUCAGCAACUCUAGAUAGAGGUUAACUAGUUUGCUAAAACAGCUCUUUGAAAGCAGUUAUUUAUGGAGGGGAGAAUGUUUCUCAUUUGCUUUCAAUUUCCUAAUUGGGAUUAGAACUAGCAACACUCUAUUUGGAAACUUGCUUACACAUAACAAUGAGAUCUUCCUGUAGAAUCUCACCUUAGCUUUUAGUGGCAGGGAAUAGACAGGUUCUGUGAUUGAACAAUUCUCCGGUCUGUCAAGAGUUUGGUAAACAUGUUCUUCCCUGUCCUCUUCACUCUCCACCUCCUCUUCUUCCUUGUCUUCUAACUCCCCCUCUGAGUGGUCUGGGGAGGACAGGCGUGGUCGGCUAGCCAAAUCUUCUGACCAUCUAUCUCUGUGGAAGAUAUGAAGGACUCUGAUUGGCCACUCUCAGACAAAGACCUUGGCCAGACAGGGGGGAUGGCCCAUGUCUGUCCAGUGAGCGAAGAAGACAAGAUGGCUGCUGCUAAGGCAGAUCUGUAGAUGGAAAGAGGCUGGCUGUGUGCCGAUUUCUCGUAUCUAGACGCUUCACCACAAGAAGGCACCUUGAUACAAAAGUAGUGCUGAUUGGCUAAAAGUGAGGAGCGAAGCCAAUCAGUGACUAAUAUGAUUUACCUAGCAACGACGUCCUCACCGACCAGCGGACAGGCCAACAGGGGGCGAUGUCGUUCCAUCUAAUGCUCAACUGUCAUCGACUGUCUCUCGAGUCUCAGCACAUAGGGCGGUUGUAAUUUUCUUUCUUUCUUUCUUUCUUUCUUUCUUUCUUAUUUUUAAUGUAUAUACAGUAAAAAAUACAAUUGAAUAUGUCCCCUAAAAUAACAUUUUAGUAAUACCUUUUAAAGUGUGUAUCACAUGACAGACCAUUCAAAUGUGUCUUCCAUCCAGUCAACUUUGUCCCUGACAUUUUUAAAACCGUUAGCUGCUAAACUUGGCAUAUAAACUUAAAUAAAGAUGUUUGUGGGUGCUACCUUUCUGAAUAUCCCCAUACUAUCAAGCAUGAACAGAUAGCGAACACAUUUUGUCAU
Long non-coding RNA from Perca flavescens (yellow perch), 1088 nucleotides. RefSeq lists it as uncharacterized. The record is from RefSeq and is a predicted model, not a curated record. The transcript has 3 exons. NCBI's taxonomy places the organism in Eukaryota, Metazoa, Chordata, Actinopteri, Perciformes, Percidae.